GGGAUAUACUUAGAACCCCAAGAUUGUUGUGUUAAUAGCAGUGUCUUUGGCCGGGCAUUGCGGUUAGUGAAUC
RNAcentral lists this non-coding RNA (73 nucleotides) under uncultured Prevotella sp. RNAcentral describes it as "L13-Bacteroidia ribosomal protein leader". It matches the Rfam family "L13-Bacteroidia ribosomal protein leader". Lineage: Bacteria; Pseudomonadati; Bacteroidota; Bacteroidia; Bacteroidales; Prevotellaceae. The record is from RNAcentral.